GAGAGCCCCAAGACCGUCGCCUGCACCACCGUCUCAGAAAAGUGAGCCAAAAUCUCGCGAGAUUCAGGCUACACACGAGCGGAUCCAAAGGCCAAACCUCCGAUCUUGAAGUCGACACACCCAGAGGUACACUUGACUGAGAAGGAAAGUCUUUUCAUAUUAAAUCCAUGUUAGCCUGACCGCUGUUGCCCUGGAACCAUCGCUCUUCGUGGCUUUGUAUGGCUGGCUGAUGUGAUUUGGGAAUGUUUUUAGUCAAUGGGAGACGGGAAUCAGAAACAGUGGUGGUAGAGUGUACGGGGUUUACUUGAAUUUUUAUAUGAUGUCCCUGAAUUUUUGUAGGUUAUUCUCAAUCUACGGAUGGUGAUUACUUGACUAUUUCACCAAAGUUGGCUACUCAGCCUUUGAAAUACAGAGCUGAGGAUGAGAGAGGAGUCAGAUGAGCUAGAAUCAGGUUUGUAUCAUUCUAAAUUAUUCGUUUAGUUACCGAUAAAAGAUAUGGUUGCCUAAUCCAGUUUUGUAUUUUCAACAUCUUAAACAUUUUCUUUUGAUAGCACUUCGUUUUGAUUUGUAAACUAACUAUAUGCAUUAUCUUUAUUUUGGGUCGCAGUGUAACGUUUAACGAUUGAAUUUGUAAGAUGGUUUAGCAA
Molecule: non-coding RNA, 647 nt
Organism: Malus domestica (apple)
Lineage: Eukaryota; Viridiplantae; Streptophyta; Magnoliopsida; Rosales; Rosaceae
Source: RefSeq, a predicted model, not a curated record